GAUGAACGCUGGCGGCGUGCCUAAUACAUGCAAGUCGAGCGAACAGAUGAGGAGCUUGCUCCUCUGACGUUAGCGGCGGACGGGUGAGUAACACGUGGAUAACCUACCUAUAAGACUGGGAUAACUUCGGGAAACCGGAGCUAAUACCGGAUAAUAUAUUGAACCGCAUGGUUCAAUAGUGAAAGACGGUUUUGCUGUCACUUAUAGAUGGAUCCGCGCCGCAUUAGCUAGUUGGUAAGGUAACGGCUUACCAAGGCGACGAUGCGUAGCCGACCUGAGAGGGUGAUCGGCCACACUGGAACUGAGACACGGUCCAGACUCCUACGGGAGGCAGCAGUAGGGAAUCUUCCGCAAUGGGCGAAAGCCUGACGCAGCAACGCCGCGUGAGUGAUGAAGGUCUUCGGAUCGUAAAACUCUGUUAUUAGGGAAGAACAAAUGUGUAAGUAACUAUGCACGUCUUGACGGUACCUAAUCAGAAAGCCACGGCUAACUACGUG
This 497-nucleotide ribosomal RNA is filed under the name uncultured bacterium. RNAcentral describes it as "partial 16S ribosomal RNA". It matches the Rfam family "Bacterial small subunit ribosomal RNA", at positions 28 to 507 of the family's 1533-position model. The record is from RNAcentral.